This 30-nucleotide non-coding RNA is filed under the name Rattus norvegicus (Norway rat). Lineage: Eukaryota; Metazoa; Chordata; Mammalia; Rodentia; Muridae. The record is from RNAcentral.
UUGUUUUGAAACAGACUGGCUUUUCUUUGU